CCAUGUGAAAGGGUCCAAGGAUAUCCAUUCCCCAUUGCGCAAACGACCAUGGGGCACUCAAGGGUGUAAGCUCUGCAGCGGGCUAUCUCUGGACAUUGGCAUACCUCUGACAUCGGUCACACUUUCUGACGUAUUCAAUGGAGUCACGAUACAUUGUCGGUCAGUAAUACCCUUGGCGGAGUAACUUGUGGGAUAAGGAUCUAGCCCUUAGAUGG
This 215-nucleotide long non-coding RNA is filed under the name Elaeis guineensis (African oil palm). RNAcentral's name for it is "long non-coding RNA (EGUI_LNC069010)". Lineage: Eukaryota; Viridiplantae; Streptophyta; Magnoliopsida; Arecales; Arecaceae. The record is from RNAcentral.